CUUUAACGGCUUUAAUUUCAAAUACACCAUACACAGUACAUCAAAAAACUUCCUGGUCUCUCCAUCUUCCACUGUGAAAAAUUAAAAAAAAAUGAAGCAUUAAUAAGUAGCAUCUAAAAAUUCUUUGUCUAUUCAUCUGCCACGGUGAAGAAUCCCCAAAAAAAUGAAGUACACAUAAGCAGCAUAAAAAAAUUCUCUGUCUGUUCAUGUGCCACUAUGAAGAAUUCCCAAAAGAAGGAAACAAAAAUAAGCAGCUCCAUCAUAUUGGCCAUUAUCUUGCAGAUCUAUCACGCACUCGCAUUCAACAUUAGUUUGCUUAUGUGUUUUCUGCAAUUAUUCCUUGAAUAUGAUCACUAAACACGUCUUCUAUUCUUCUCCAAAAGCUGAUUUGACAAUCUUUUUCCUGCCAGGACUCUAUUACAUUAUCGUGAUUUAUGGGAGAAAGGUGUUUCUAGCUAACCUAAAGCUUGUUUGGCCAGAGAUGUGGUUACCAAUCUAAAUAAAUUUGGUGAUAUGCAGAUAGCAAGUGUUUCAAAUUACACCUUAUGUUGACAGUUUGGAUCAAGCCUAAUGAACUCAACCCUUGAAAAGUGCUCCUAAG
This is a long non-coding RNA of Arachis ipaensis, 601 nucleotides long. RefSeq lists it as uncharacterized. The record is from RefSeq and is a predicted model, not a curated record. NCBI's taxonomy places the organism in Eukaryota, Viridiplantae, Streptophyta, Magnoliopsida, Fabales, Fabaceae.